This 601-nucleotide long non-coding RNA is filed under the name Homo sapiens (human). Its description in RNAcentral is "HSALNT0295153". The record is from RNAcentral. Lineage: Eukaryota; Metazoa; Chordata; Mammalia; Primates; Hominidae.
GGCGGAGAGACGGACGGCGGCGGAGAGGCGGACAGAGGCGGAGAGGCGGACAGCGGCGGCGCGGCGGAGAGGCGGACAGCGGCGGAGAGGCGGACAGCGGCGGCGCGGCGGAGAGACGGACAGCGGCGGAGAGGCGGACAGCGGCGGCGCGGCGGAGAGGCGGACAGCGGCGGAGAGGCGGACAGCGGCGGCACAGCGGCGGCGCGGCGGAGAGACGGACAGCGGCGGAGAGGCGGACAGCGGCGGCGAGGCGCGCAGCGGCGGCGCAGGCGCGGAGAGGCGCAGGCCCAGGCUCCACUCCCCAGCUGUGAAAGGGUUUUCUGCCUCCUGCUAAGCCAAUUUAUACAUUCCAAGAAAAUCUUCCAUUUCAUCCAGGUGAAACAGAACCUACUGGAAUGAAGCUGGCCUCCCAUGGAAUGAAGCUGGCCUCCCGUCUCCUUGAUUUGAAGCAGCUUCUCCACGUUGCUUCAACAUUGCUUUAUGGCAUGUGUGGUCGUUUUUCACUCCAUUGUUGUUGUUUACCCAGUUUAUGGGGGUUGUAAUGUUUAUCACACUCCUUGGAUGAUUUCCGAAGGUAAGAUAUCUGGAAUGGUUUUUCUAA